This 253-nucleotide ribosomal RNA is filed under the name uncultured bacterium. RNAcentral describes it as "partial 16S ribosomal RNA". It matches the Rfam family "Bacterial small subunit ribosomal RNA", at positions 524 to 776 of the family's 1533-position model. The record is from RNAcentral.
UACGUAGGGUGCGAGCGUUGUCCGGAAUUAUUGGGCGUAAAGGGUUCGUAGGUGGCCAACUAAGUCAGACGUGAAAUCCCUCAGCUCAACUGGGGAACUGCGUCUGAUACUGGUUGGCUUGAGUGCGGUAGGGGAGACUGGAAUUCCUGGUGUAGCGGUGAAAUGCGCAGAUAUCAGGAGGAACACCAAUAGCGAAGGCAGCUCGCUGGGACGGUACUGACGCUGAGGCGCGAAAGCGUGGGGAGCGAACAGG